GUGGUUGGCAGCACGUGGACUGACAUUGGAAUGGUACGGAGGAUAUUAGCAUGGCCCCUGGGCAAGGAUGGCACCCGAUUUCAUCAGUUCCAGGUUUUU
This 99-nucleotide small nuclear RNA is filed under the name Pterocles gutturalis (yellow-throated sandgrouse). The record is from RNAcentral. Lineage: Eukaryota; Metazoa; Chordata; Aves; Pterocliformes; Pteroclidae.